UACGUAGGGCGCAAGCGUUAUCCGGAAUUAUUGGGCGUAAAGAGCUUGUAGGCGGUUUGUCGCGUCUGCUGUGAAAAUCCGGGGCUCAACCCCGGACUUGCAGUGGGUACGGGCAGACUAGAGUGUGGUAGGGGAGACUGGAAUUCCUGGUGUAGCGGUGGAAUGCGCAGAUAUCAGGAGGAACACCGGUGGCGAAGGCGGGAUCCUGGGCCAGUACUGACGCUGAGGAGCGAAAGCGUGGGGAGCAAACAGG
RNAcentral lists this ribosomal RNA (253 nucleotides) under uncultured bacterium. Its description in RNAcentral is "partial 16S ribosomal RNA". It matches the Rfam family "Bacterial small subunit ribosomal RNA", at positions 524 to 776 of the family's 1533-position model. The record is from RNAcentral.